UUAUAGAUCCCUGACCCCAGGUAACACUCAAAUCUGUACCCCACAGGCAUGUGCAGAAGGCCUGGGAAGGCUGGAAGAUGAAGGCCUGGCAAGUACAACACGGGAUGAUUCCCCCACUGGAGAACCUUUCAGGAACUCCUGGAACCUCUUGUAGGGUCUGGCACGGCCAGCUCAGGAAACGGAUGCCAGCAAUCCUUCUUUACAGAAACCAGUGCAAGGAAGCAGAAAACAGAAUGUAUGGCAGUCAUUUCUGCUUGACUUGGCUAUGCUGACUCACGUAGAAGUCCUUAACCACCUACCCUGGGCCCUGCCUGGGGCAGUAGGGAAAAGGAUCUCUCAGUUCGGGGGAUGCUUGAAUUCUCUGGACUACAGCCUCUGACGCAAAGUCCAUAAGAAUUGAGAAGCUGAGUUCCACGGACUAGGCUUCAGAAACAUCUGGCCUGCCCACAGAAAGAAGUUGGAGAUGUCUAUGUAAGGUGAGCUUUCAAGCCAGGCAGCAGCAGAGGCCCUCAGAGCCUCUCAGCAGACUCACAUGAAGCUCAAAGCAGGCCCUGACAGCAAGCUAUCCCGAACCUGUGAAGGAUGAAGGCAUGGAAACUCUUAAUACCGGACUCAAAAAAAAUUCCAGGGACUGCCCUGCCAAAUUUUUUAAAAAGGAAACAGGAUGAACAUCUUGCUAUGAGUCCAGAUCCCCCAGUUGGAAAAGUCUCAAUGUAAAAGGGGGCUUCAUCUUUCCUGGCUUUUUGGCAGCACGAAUUAAAGGAGCUGGAGAGAUCCUUGUAGCCUUUUUUCA
Long non-coding RNA from Talpa occidentalis (Iberian mole), 793 nucleotides. RefSeq lists it as uncharacterized. Lineage: Eukaryota; Metazoa; Chordata; Mammalia; Eulipotyphla; Talpidae. The transcript is spliced from 4 exons. The record is from RefSeq and is a predicted model, not a curated record.